GGACACAGGAAAACGGCAUUAGUAGUGCCUCAUAAUCCUUUGGUCCACGGUUCGAGUCCGUGUGGGCCCACCA
RNAcentral lists this transfer RNA (73 nucleotides) under Pseudomonas plecoglossicida NB2011. RNAcentral's name for it is "tRNA-OTHER". Lineage: Bacteria; Pseudomonadati; Pseudomonadota; Gammaproteobacteria; Pseudomonadales; Pseudomonadaceae. The record is from RNAcentral.